GAGAGGGUUCGGCCCUCAGCAGACGGCUCAGUAACACGUGGAUAAUCUGCCCUUAGGUGGAGGAUAACCUCGGGAAACUGAGAAUAAUACUCCAUAGAUCUGGAAUGCUGGAAUGCAUCUAGGUUGAAAGUUCCGGCGCCUAAGGAUGAGUCCGCGGACUAUCAGGUAGUAGUCAGGGUAAAGACCUGACUAGCCUAUGACGGAUACGGGUUGUGAGAGCAAUAACCCGGAGACGAUAUCUGAGACACGAUAUCGGGCCCUACGGGGCGCAGCAGGCGCGAAAACUUCACACUGUGCGAAAGCACGAUGAGGGGAUCCCAAGUGCUGGCUCGUAAGAAUCAGCUGUUUCUUUGUCUAAAAAACAAAGAGAGUAAGAGCUGGGUAAGACGGGUGCCAGCCGCCGCGGUAAUACCUGCAGCUCAAGUGGUGACCGCUAUUAUUGGGCCUAAAACGUCCGUAGCCGGUUUAGUAAAUGCCUGGGUAAAUCGUGUAGCUUAACUAUACGAAUUCCGGGUAGACUGCUGAACUUGAGACCGGGUGAGGCUAGAGGUACUCCUGGGGUAGAGGUGAAAUUCUGUAAUCCUAGGGGGACCACCAGUGGCGAAGGCGUCUAGCUAGAACGGGUCUGACGGUGAGGGACGAAGCCCUGGGGCACAAACCGGAUUAGAUACCCGGGUAGUCCAGGGUGUAAACGCUGCUUGCUUGAUGUUAGUUGGGCUCCGAGCCCAACUAGUGUCGGAGAGAAGUUGUUAAGCAAGCUGCCUGGGAAGUACGGUCGCAAGGCUGAAACUUAAAGGAAUUGGCGGGGGAGCACAGCAACGGGUGGAGCGUGCGGUUUAAUUG
This 843-nucleotide ribosomal RNA is filed under the name uncultured archaeon. RNAcentral describes it as "bacterial SSU rRNA". It matches the Rfam family "Archaeal small subunit ribosomal RNA", at positions 60 to 908 of the family's 1478-position model. The record is from RNAcentral.